UCACCAGGCUGUAGAGCAGGCGAGGCCCUCAUUUGAUGGGACACAGCCGGUCCCUGGUAGCAGUGGUGGGGGACCCUUCUGUAGGGCUCUGACCACCUGGUACUGAAGUACCAAUUAUGCUCUCUGAGUGCUGGUUUCUUGUCACUCAGGUCUUAGCACAGAUGCCACCACCUGGGGGAGCCUGCUCAUCUGUAAGGACUUAUGUGCCCCUCACACCGCAGGGUCCAGCCCCAAGUGCUGGGCCUGCCGGGGUCCCUCGCAGGCAUGGUCCCUGCACCCCACUUGAGCCAGCCAGCACUACCCACCCUUGCGGACAUGGGCUCGGGUAGGACCUUUUGUGCACCUGGGUCUUGGCAGAUGUUUUCCUGGCUGAGACCUACCCAC
Molecule: long non-coding RNA, 384 nt
Organism: Heterocephalus glaber (naked mole-rat)
Lineage: Eukaryota; Metazoa; Chordata; Mammalia; Rodentia; Bathyergidae
Source: Ensembl